RNAcentral lists this transfer RNA (77 nucleotides) under Candidatus Woesearchaeota archaeon. RNAcentral's name for it is "tRNA-Phe". It matches the Rfam family "tRNA". Rfam says of the family: Transfer RNA (tRNA) molecules are approximately 80 nucleotides in length. The record is from RNAcentral. Lineage: Archaea; Nanobdellati; Candidatus Woesearchaeota.
GGGACGGUAGCUCAGACUGGGAGAGCACAUGACUGAAGAUCAUGGGGUCGAGGGUUCAAAUCCCUCUCGUCCCACCA